This 440-nucleotide ribosomal RNA is filed under the name uncultured bacterium. Its description in RNAcentral is "partial 16S ribosomal RNA". It matches the Rfam family "Bacterial small subunit ribosomal RNA", at positions 338 to 795 of the family's 1533-position model. The record is from RNAcentral.
CCUACGGGAGGCAGCAGUGGGGGAUAUUGCACAAUGGGGGGAACCCUGAUGCAGCGACGCCGCGUGGGUGAAGGAGCGUUUCGGCGCGUAAAGCCCUAUCGGCAGGGAAGAAGAUGACGGUACCUGACCAAGAAGCCCCGGCUAACUACGUGCCAGCAGCCGCGGUAAAACGCCGGGGGCCAGCGUUAUCCGGAUUUACGGGGUGUAAAGGGGGCGCAGACGGCAAUGCAAGCCAGGAGUGAAAGCCCGGGGGCCAACCCCGGGUCUGCCCUUGGAACUGCGUGGCUGGAGUACAGGAGGGGCAGGCGGAAUGCGUAGUGUAGCGGUGAAAUGCGUAGAUAUUAGGAGGAACUCCGGUGGCGAAGGCGGCCUGCUGGACUGUGACUGACGUUGAGGCCCGAAGGCGUGGGGAGCGAACAGGAUUAGAUACCCGAGUAGUC